CUCAAUUGAUAUGUGAUUGUUGAAUGGUAACAAAAUAACAACUCAGGAACAUUUGGGAAGCAUGAAGUGAAGCCUGCAAACCACUUCAAGCAGCCAAACUUGGAUGCCAAAGAAAAACGUAUAGCGUUUAUGACCUGUCGUAUCAUUAAUAAUAAUAAUAAUAGUAAUACAUUAGAUUUGUAUAGCGCUUUUCUAGAAACUCAAAAACGUUUACAUCAUAAACAUCGACAAUGAAGGGGCAGAAUACAUAUUCUUACAGAAACACACUAUAUUUAAAAUACUAGUGUAAAGACCACAGUGGCAAACUAAAUUCAAUUAAAUUAAUUAAAAUUACAUGUAAAUGUUACUUGGGUAACUGGAUUCCAUCAGAGUCACUUGGCUGGUGAGCUUUGACAUUUUACAUGCAUUGAAUAAUUGUUUAUGUGUUAUUAACUGUAAUAUAGGGUGGUAUGUGCUUGGUUUGAUUAUAACCAAAGUGGAUUUUUGGAAAUACCCUCUUCACCUCAGAUCAGUUCUAUUGUUGUAUCAGACUUGAGUUUUCUGUUUUACAGUACCAUGUCCUCUGAGGGUGCUGUGCCAGCAGCUGAACCCAGGUUACAUCGUCUCUCCGGCUGGUUUGACCCUGAAAGUGCUGCGGUGUUGACCAUCCUGCUGGGGCUGUUCCAGGUGCUGUUGUCUGUUCCACUCGCUUACGCUGACCAAACUCUGCCAACUCUCUUCAUAAUGCCACUUGUAAUAGGAAUUCUAAUUGUGGCAGGAGGAUCAUUCACCAUUGCCAAUGAAAGGAACUCCAGCAGAUUACUGCUCCGAGGUUGUGCAUGCAGUAAUGUGAUUGGCCUGGUGGGGGCGCUGCUUGCCUUCUGUCUCUACGGCUACUGCCUCAGCAUUGCAGACAGAGACCUGUGUGAUCCCACUGCUCCUGACCAUGAAUACAGAUAUACAUAUUAUGGGUGUCCCGGUGAAAUACUGAUGGCGUAUUGCUGGAGUGUGAUACUGCUGCUGCUGCUCUAUGACACUGGAGCCGUGGUGCUGCACAGCCUGCUGUCUGUCUCUGCCAUCAAAGCACUCAAAAGAGACUGAUACAUACACACCCACACACACACAGCUAACACACUUGCUAUACAUGUGGUAUAGCAAGUGUAUUUGCUUGCUCCAUAUUAGCAGUAGAAUUGAAAACUUUGAAAACUUAAUUCCCCUAACAAAUCUUUUGACAUUGCCAAAGUGUCGAUGUCUGUUUUUGUGGAUUUGGUGACACCAGGGGUUUUACAAUACCGAUCAUAUAUUUCUAUUCAAACCAAAAUCUGUCCUGACUUCAGUGAUUGUAACAACAAAUAGAAAUAAAGUUAUUCAGUCAGAUAGCAUAUACAUAAUAUAUAGAUUUGACAAUAUUAUAUUAAUUAAACUGUCAAUAACUAAGUGAUGAAAUAUUUUAAUAGGAAAUAAUAAGAAAAUAAAUGGAAAAGACUAAAACUCUUUCUGAUUGGCUGGCAGGUGUCAAAUAAAUCAUAAAACAGUGCACCUCAAACAAAGGUCUGAUCAUUGUUAGAGCAAUUUAUCAUUUUAGACCAAGGCUGAUUUUUUUGCGCACAUGUUGUUCGGACUACUUUCAUAUGUGGUUCUAUAUCAGACAAAGAUCAUAUUUUUUGCAAUGCGACUCCAGUCUGAACAGUGAUAUUGGAUCUCAUGCGACUUUAGCGUCACUGCAGAUGGACAUUCUUCACAAUUCUGCAAUGCUAAACAGUUUAGACAACAUGAGGUAACUGUUGCAAGCCAAUACAACCCAAUUCCUAAAUGGGUCCCUUGAACUGAGUGUCUUGCAACAAGUCUUAUGGAGAGGUGCAGGUAGAUGCAGUUAAUCGUAGCCCUUGUAAUCUGUUUCAGUGAAGCCAUUCAUUUUGAGUGUUGAUGGAUGGAGUUUUCUGUGAAGCACAUAUCGGGGCUUCAGAUAGUGGUUCAGAUCGGUUAGACCACUGCCACUUUCCAGUUUUAGAACACUAAUGUUAACCCUGCUGCCAUUUAUAAUAUGAUAAUAAUGGCAAUAUCAUUAUAUUUUGAUACAAUUAUUGGAUACAUUACUCAUAAGACAAUUACCGUUCCAAUACAUACUUAUGUUAUACAAUCCUAGUACAUUUAUUAGAAAACAGAUACUAUAAAUGGAUUACAUGGAAAUUGAUUUUUUUUUUCUUGUUUGCAGUUAUCCCCAAUAAUUUACUUCCACGAAAUACAGUAUAUCAAAGAUCACAUGGUUGAGAGAUGAUAUCUGCAUGACUCUUACACCAACAGCUGGUUUUGCUGGGGAAAUGAUACUAUGGUGGGCUGCCAUCGUCCACAUAACUAAUGGCAAACUCUAAGCAAAGAGUUGAUCAAGGAAUGAAAUGGAGGUGCUAGGUGUUGUAUGUCCAAAUGAGAGAACAGUUUUGAGAAUAGUAUGUAAACUUGCAAAAUGGAGUUUAAAGACAGUUUUGGUGGUGGUUGAGUUUGAGUGAGAUAACAGUUCAUGAAUUUUGAAACGUGUGUUAAGUGAAUGCAUUUUGUGUCAAAGCAAUGAAAAGUGAAUUCAGUAUUGAGUAAUGCACAUCCUUGAUGGUAAAAAUGAUCCUUCUUGCCAAAAUGCUAAAUGUCUUAUUUGAAUAAAUUCAGUUUCCCAUAGGCAAACAGCGGUAAUGGAUAAAGCUGUCUCCAAUGUUUUUUUUAUAUCGAGGCCCACUCUCUGUCUGUACAGAAAAUCAUUUUAUCUCUUUGUUUGACUCAGCGGUCGUCGUGUCGAAAGAAAGCAGUGGCAUGCAGCUCUUCCAGCAGAGCAUGGUGAAAUAUAUGAAACAAUUGACAGCAGUAGAUGGGACAUUACCGUCACAUAGGGGUUUCCCUUAUAUCAGUUGAACACAGGACCCCACCAUUAUCCUGCGACAUAGGGGACACCAGAGGGAUAACGGUCUAAGUUAAAAAAUAAUUACAUUAAAAUAUGUUAACAAAACAGUUAGUAUUUAAAACGUGUAUAAGUACAAAUCAGUAUAAGUUACAGUCCAAUGGUGCUGUUUAAGAAUAUUUUAAUUUUGUCUGAACACCCUCCCGCAAUCCAUGGAACGUGGAUGGUUCCUAAAAUGGCGGCGGUUUAUUCCAGUGUGAAGUGAAACUUUCCUAUUUUACGCGACAUUUUUCUCGUUUUCUAACAUAUUUUGUCGACUUAAGUCGUCUGUUUAUCAAAGUAAGCAUUACCGGAAUAUAGAGACGUUUGACAGUGAUCGUCAGGACCGAGCGGCGUCAUUCUGGACUCCGUUUUUGUUCGCCAAAUCGCUGGUCUUCUCUCGAAGUUGACGGUGGCUAAGUGCCUGACAUUGCCAUCAUACCGACUGUUGUUGUCAUCAAAUUGCUCAACGCUGAGAUCAGCUGAGAGAGGCAAGUAAUAACUUAGCUAGCCAGUCAAAGUCGAAAAACAACUCGACAGCUUUUCGUUCAGCUUGAUUCCGUCAGGGCUGGUCAGAGAUCCUGAGGACGUGUCACGUCACCUGUCAUUUGAAAUAAAUAGGUGGAGUUGGAUGUCACCACCAGUCAGUGACAGGCUGAAUUUGGUUUGCUAGAGUUGUGUAAGUACCCGUUUAUUUUCACCUUUAUUCUUGCUUCACUGUCACCAGUGUUUGUCUGAACAGCUUGUUCUGUUUUGUGGCCUGCAGUCACUUGUCUCGAUGGUAUGACUGUCUGGUUUUAAAAUGCUAGCCAUAACAUAAGCCAACUGUGUACGCAAUAUUGCAUUCCAAAUCACCAACGUUACUAUUGACAAAACAUGGCCACCUUUGUCUAAAUGUUUUCUCAUCGGUUGCUAUUUUUUUAAGGGAGUGGCUGUAGAUGAUAUGGUUUGUUUUGUCUUGAUUUGUUAACAAUGGCCUGAUAAGUAAAUGGCCAAUAAUCAUCUACUCUAGGUUAUUAGCAUUAAAAUACAGCGUUAGGCCUCUGACUGUCCACUUUCUGUUUCCAAACAUUGUUUUUGACUCUUAUUUCCG
This 3998-nucleotide long non-coding RNA is filed under the name Cottoperca gobio. RNAcentral describes it as "lncRNA (ENSCGOG00000016190.1)". Lineage: Eukaryota; Metazoa; Chordata; Actinopteri; Perciformes; Bovichtidae. The record is from RNAcentral.